CGGGCCGUACUUGGCCCCGCUCCCUGCCGUGCGGAGAGCCGGGCGCGCGAGACGUGGCAGCGCCCCGGCUCCGGGGGCGGUGCACCCAGAAAGAAGCUCAGGAUCGCGGCUUCAAGUCCGACUGCCAUCGCAGACGGUCGGGCAAAAUCGCGAGCGGCGACAGACGGCUAGCUCUCAGCCCAGUGCCAGUCACAGAGAGAAACUUUGUUCCCACCCUUUGUUCCCUGCUCCACGGGACUCUAGCAGAUCAUAAAGACACAGUACCUUCCAUGUUAAAAUACAUGCUCAAGGCAGGAGUCGACUACUUUAUCAUACAAAAUGAAGACCCUGAGGCCCAGGGAAGUAAAAAGAUCUGCCCUACGUCACCCAGAGCCAGAACUCAGGACUCGCCCUGGCCGCACAGAGUUCUUUCCUGCAGUGCUCUGCAAACCGCCUCUGAAUUUACUCCAAGACCAGAGGACAAUCAGCUUUGGCUCCACAGAUCUGGUGCCGCAGUCCCAGGAUGGAACCACAGAUGGCAAAUUGCCCUGCAAUAGCACGUUUCUCUUCAGAAUUCGUGGAAAGCCGGCAUUCGAAACCACAGCAUGUCUGUCUUUGAACCUAUGAAUAACCUUGUGAUUAUUCACCCUCCAGUAAAAUCGAAGCCACACAUCUCUGCACAGUGUCUGAGCUAUGGCUUCAGGACCCCUCGGCACAGGCUGCGUCCCUGUGGGGUGCUGGAGCCCUUGUGUGGAAGGCCAUGCAUGCAUCACUCCCCGAUGGGGCCCUCUCAGACCCUCAGUGGAAGCAGGCAGGCACCAGCUGCUGGCUGUCAACUUGAGCUGUACAAUGACGCCCUUAUGUUUGUAUUUGCAAAGCCAUUCGAGAAGCAUCAGGUUGUUACUGAACUCCCACUGUGGACUCAGUGCUGUGCUGGAUGACACGGCACAAACACGGCCUCUGCCUGCGAGCAGCUGGCAGGCUGUUGAGGGAUCCCAGUUCCGGGCUUGUGAUGCAUUUUAAUCAGCUAGAGGGAGAGAUAGGGGUGCUAGGGAAGUGGACUUGAAGCAGGAAUGCCUCCCCAGGGAAGGAGCAGGUGGAGAGGCCAGGGGAGAGUGGCCCCCGGGGCAUGGGUGCAGCAGUGGGGAGCCACACGUGCCACAGGAACAUCCACAGUACUGCCCAAGGUGGAGGUGUGGAUGUCAGCUGGAAGAGGCCUUCCGGGGCACCCAGGUCAAGCCCCUUACUUCCCAGGAAUGGAAGUUGUGCAUGGAAGGUGACCCAGCCCGUUGGUCUCUUGAGAUCACCUGACAAAGUGCAGCCAGUUUUAUGUGGCUUGCCAGGUGAAAGAGGAGACCAGCUUGUCACUGGGGAGAGCCGAGGUGCUGGGAGGGUGUCACAUUCCCAGCCCUUCGCAAAGGGCCAGGCCCAAGACGCCCAGAGACCUCAGUCAGCUCACUUGGCCUCCCUAGUUCCACACUGCAAGUGAAUUAAAUGAGAUGAGGUACAGAAAGCGUAUAGAACAGGGCCUGAUGCUUAUCUAGUAAGGACUCACAAAUGGGAGCUAUUUUUUUAAAGAUUUUUUUUUUUUAAGUAAUCUCUGCACACGACAAGGGGCUCGAACUCACAGCCCUGAGAUCAAGAGGCACACGCUCUAUUGAUUGAGCCAGCCAGGUGCCCCACAAAUGGGAGCUAUUUUUGUUGCUGCUGUUGCUGUGAUAGAUGUUUGCUGAUUAUUUCACACUGACUAUAUUACAACCUGCUGAGAACUCUUUCGCUAAUUUAUAAGAUUUAUCACUGGAGCAGUGGUUUCAAACAUCGAGAUAUGUUAGAAUUACCUGAGGGGAACUGGUUCAGAAUUAGAUUUCAGGGGCACCUGGGUGGCACAGUCGUUAAGCGUCUGCCUUCAGCUCAGGGCGUGAUCCCGGUGUGAUGGGAUCGAGCCCCACAUCAGGCUCCUCUGCUGGGAGCCUGCUUCUUCCUCUCCCACUCCCCCUGCUUGUGUUCCCUCUCUCGCUGCCUGUCUCUCUGUGUCAAAUAAAUAAAUAAAAUCUUAAAAAAAAAAAUUAGAUUUCAGGGCCUAGCCCCUCCCAGUUGUAGUUCAGUAGGAGAUAUUUAUAUAUCUAGAUAUAUAGAUAUGUUAUCAAUCAUAUACAAUAUGUAUAUUAUAUGUAUUGUAUGUAUUUCUUUAUUGUUCACAAAUACCUCAGGCAAUUCAGUGCUGGUGGUUCGAGGACCCCAGGGAGAGAGGCUGCCUUGAGCUGGGAGUUGGUGUUCUCCUACUUCAUUUGAUUUUCUUAAAAUAAAUAAAUAAAAUUAUUUUAGAAAAAUAAUUCAAAGAGCACAGAAUCUUAUUAAGUGGAAGGAAACUCCCUGGACCCGCUUCUUCCACGCUUAUCUCUACAUUCCCACCCCGAGAUAAUCCUCGUUAACUGUGGUUGGUUUGUUUCCAGUAAUUAUCUGCGCCCAUACAAGCAUACCCACGAAUGCAUCUCUUUCCCCCCAUGCUCGCUUUGUGAAAAACACGAAUAGGAUCAUAGGAUAGAGCAGGGACUGGCAAUGUCUUCAGAAACAUGUUGAAUAGUAAAUAUUUUUCCGCUCUGCAGGCCAUACGGUCUCUGUCCCAACUACUAAACUCCCCUGCAGCUUGGGUCUCUGUCCCAACUACUAAACUCCCCUGCAGCUUGAAAGCAGCCACAAUUCACAAACGAAUGGGCGUGGCUGUGUUCCGAGGCCGCACUGGUGAGCAGGCGGGGUUUGGCUUGCGGGGCCGCAGUCAGCUGCCGGAAUACAGCCUUCUCUUAUCGCUUGUGUGUUGUAUCUUUUCCCUAUCAGCCCCUGGAGUGACUUUAUUCUUUAACUGCUACAUGGUACUGAGAACAUAUUUAGCCACUUCUCAAGUGGACAGCUAGCUAUUUUCCAGGUUUUGCUGUACUAAACUGCCAUACACUGUGUGCUUGGUUGACUAUUCUUAGUCAACCGGAAUGAAUUCUCAGAACAGAACUGCUGACUCAAAGGUAAUCUCUACACCCAACAUGGGGGCUCAAACUCCCGACCCUGAGAUCAAGAGUCGCAUGUGCUACUAACUGAGCCAGCCAGGCGCCCAAUAAUGAUCCUGUAUAAGACAAGAACCAACCACCUAAUAGCUGAGAC
This is a long non-coding RNA of Ailuropoda melanoleuca (giant panda), 3132 nucleotides long. RefSeq lists it as uncharacterized. The transcript has 3 exons. The record is from RefSeq and is a predicted model, not a curated record. NCBI's taxonomy places the organism in Eukaryota, Metazoa, Chordata, Mammalia, Carnivora, Ursidae.